ACGGAGGGUGCAAGCGUUAUCCGGAAUCAUUGGGUUUAAAGGGUCCGCAGGCGGGCUUAUAAGUCAGUGGUGAAAGCCUACAGCUUAACUGUAGAACUGCCAUUGAUACUGUAAGUCUUGAAUUUAGUCGAAGUAGGCGGAAUAUGACAUGUAGCGGUGAAAUGCUUAGAUAUGUCAUAGAACACCGAUAGCGAAGGCAGCUUACUAGGCUUGAAUUGACGCUCAUGGACGAAAGCGUGGGGAGCAAACAGG
Molecule: ribosomal RNA, 252 nt
Filed under: uncultured bacterium
Lineage: Bacteria
Description: partial 16S ribosomal RNA
Rfam family: Bacterial small subunit ribosomal RNA
Source: RNAcentral